CGUAACAAGGUCUCCGUAGGUGAACCUGCGGAGGGAUCAUUACACAAAUAUGAAGGCGGGCUGGAACCUCUCGGGGUUACAGCCUUGCUGAAUUAUUCACCCUUGUCUUUUGCGUACUUCUUGUUUCCUUGGUGGGUUCGCCCACCACUAGGACAAACAUAAACCUUUUGUAAUUGCAAUCAGCGUCAGUAACAAAUUAAUAAUUACAACUUUCAACAACGGAUCUCUUGGUUCUGGCAUCGAUGAAGAACGCGGCGAAAUGCGAUAAGUAGUGUGAAUUGCAGAAUUCAGUGAAUCAUCGAAUCUUUGAACGCACAUUGCGCCCUUUGGUAUUCCAAAGGGCAUGCCUGUUCGAGCGUCAUUUGUACCCUCAAGCUUUGCUUGGUGUUGGGCGUCUUGUCUCUAGCUUUGCUGGAGACUCGCCUUAAAGUAAUUGGCAGCCGGCCUACUGGUUUCGGAGCGCAGCACAAGUCGCACUCUCUAUCAGCAAAGGUCUAGCAUCCAUUAAGCCUUUUUUUCAACUUUUAACCUCGGAUCAGGUAGGGAUACCCGCUGAACUUAAGCAUAUCA
RNAcentral lists this ribosomal RNA (570 nucleotides) under uncultured fungus. RNAcentral's name for it is "eukaryotic LSU rRNA". The stretch from base 208 to 361 matches the Rfam family "5.8S ribosomal RNA". Lineage: Eukaryota; Fungi. The record is from RNAcentral.